This 35-nucleotide ribosomal RNA is filed under the name Lathyrus filiformis. Its description in RNAcentral is "partial 25S ribosomal RNA". The record is from RNAcentral. RNAcentral also lists the same sequence under 13 other names. Lineage: Eukaryota; Viridiplantae; Streptophyta; Magnoliopsida; Fabales; Fabaceae.
GAGACCUCAGGUCAGGCGGGGCUACCCGCUGAAUU